GACGAAGGGGGCUAGCGUUGUUCGGAAUUACUGGGCGUAAAGCGCGUGUAGGCGGUUGCCAAAGUCGGGUGUGAAAGCCUUGAGCUCAACUCAAGAAAUGCACUCGAUACUUGGUGACUAGAGGACCGGAGAGGAUAGUGGAAUUCCCAGUGUAGUGGUGAAAUACGUAGAGAUUGGGAAGAACACCAGUGGCGAAGGCGGCUAUCUGGACGGUUUCUGACGCUAAGACGCAAAAGCGUGGGGAGCAAACAGG
Molecule: ribosomal RNA, 253 nt
Filed under: uncultured bacterium
Lineage: Bacteria
Description: partial 16S ribosomal RNA
Rfam family: Bacterial small subunit ribosomal RNA
Source: RNAcentral